UGGGGAAUUUUGGACAAUGGGGGCAACCCUGAUCCAGCCAUCCCGCGUGUGCGAUGAAGGCCUUCGGGUUGUAAAGCACUUUUGGCAGGGAAGAAACAGCCUGGGCUAAUAUCCCGGGCGACUGACGGUACCUGCAGAAUAAGCACCGGCUAACUACGUGCCAGCAGCCGCGGUAAUACGUAGGGUGCAAGCGUUAAUCGGAAUUACUGGGCGUAAAGCGUGCGCAGGCGGUUCGGAAAGAAAGGUGUGAAAUCCCAGGGCUUAACCUUGGAACUGCACUUUUAACUACCGGGCUAGAGUACGUCAGAGGGGGGUAGAAUUCCACGUGUAGCAGUGAAAUGCGUAGAGAUGUGGAGGAAUACCGAUGGCGAAGGCAGCCCCCUGGGAUGAUACUGACGCUCAUGCACGAAAGCGUGGGGAGCAAA
This 425-nucleotide ribosomal RNA is filed under the name uncultured bacterium. RNAcentral describes it as "bacterial SSU rRNA". It matches the Rfam family "Bacterial small subunit ribosomal RNA", at positions 355 to 772 of the family's 1533-position model. The record is from RNAcentral.